CGUUGCGUUUGAAAGAUCCCGCCAACAGACGCCUGCCAGCUAGCGCGCCAGAAGUCUAAAGACGGGGCUUAGGUCCGGACCCGUUAGUCAGCGAAAUCUUCAGUCAAAGAAUGUCUGGGGAAAAUUUUCUACAACCCUUUCACAACACACAAUGGUGGUGUGAGACACGAGUGACUCAAAUUGUCACCAUAAUCCGCCUUCUACUGAGGCCCUCGUCAUGGCAGUCAUCUUUCUAUCGUCACCAUAACUCUCAGCACGACGGUCUGACGGUUGCUGCCGCCAUGUUUGUAACAUUCCACAGACCUGGAUUUGUGAACCUAGACAAAUGACUUGGGGAGGAUUCCAGUCCGACAGUGAAGUGAGAAACCACCAUGGUAUGCAAAGCAGUAAACAACGUUUGACGGUAAGAAACUUAUUAUACAGGGCGAGGGUGCCCCCUAUAAUACCCUCAGACGAAGCGGGGUACUUAUCAGUGGCUCACCCUGUAGUGCAAUACAGUAACCCUAACCCCUGUAAAGUCAGGGGGCGCUAAAGGAAGGAAGAAAGAAAUGUACAAGACUCUACAGCUUCAUACUUCGCUUGUUGAUCGAGGAUGGAGAGAGGAGAAGAGGGUCGACGUUUCGAGUCAAAAGAAAUGAAUGACCCCGUCACCUGACUGUGGAGCAGAGCAAACCUCUGUAGAAUCCAUUGGGAACAUAUUAGAAGGAAAUGAACCUCCACAGCCACCUACACAAGCCGAACAGCCUCCGACCUUUCCACAGACCAAAAGAAUGUUCCUGCUAGAUGUUGUUGGGAUUUGAAUGAGGAGCCAACCCAGAACGACAAAUACCGCCAUCUGUUUUACUUGUAAUGUUAAUCACAAAGCUGACAGGUUUGAUGACUGUUUUCCCCUGGAGCAUACCUAGACUGAUUAUCUCAGCCAAGCUCAACAACCGGGACAUUCACCAAGAGGGAAGCCCCAUGACAUCUAAAGCAGUGAGCAAUUAAUUCUUUAAGAGAGGAAAAGGUAAGUUGAUGUCGUGAAAAGUUUAAACUUUUAAAUUACUUUUGGGAAUUAUUUUGCGCUUUGUUUUCUAAUCGUGUCCAAUGUCACAUUCAUCUGUAACACAUUAAAAUCCGUAUACACAUAUUCUUUUGUGUGUUUACUGAUAAGGGGUUGGGGGAGAAAAAGCUAUUGUAAGUUCACUUUUCGUGUUGAUGGGAAACUUUUUAUAAAACUGUUACAUAAAGGUGGCUUCAUCUUCUCAUUUCGCGUUCAGUUUAGACUUUGAAACUGAGAUGCAUUUCGUGAAUAUUUUAUUGCAGUAUUAAUUCUGCGUUGGAUCGUGACAACCUCAGCGAGAGAUGACCAUCUGAAAUUUCUACAACUUUCAAGUAGAAACACCUAAGAACUUUAACGCAAAAGAAACUACGUUUAUUUUCUUUAUAUUUUUUUGGCUUUUUGUGUGUUUAAUUCUGUUUUUGUCUUGGGAACAGUAUGUGCAUCUGUAUGUAUGUUUACUCACACAAACAAACAAUUAUAUACACAAACAUACUUCUCUCUCUCUCUCACACACACGAACUUUCAAAAUUUUUCACAAUCUGCGUUAGAGUCUUCACAGACAUUUCAGACGACAAUAGUUGAUGACAGGAUAUGGCAGAGGAGAAAACAAGCAAAAUAAAAAUAAUAAACAACUUUAUGAAUCCCAGAAGGCAAUUAUAUUCUUAUGUUCUGUUACAAAAAUAGACAAGUGUUAGUUGCGGGAAAAAACAUAAGGACUAAAAGGUUGUGCAUCAUAGAACACUUCACAACAUGCAAACUAAUCUUACAUCACACAUCCAUGUAAACAAACAACUGACGAUUCCAUCUAUAAAUGGCCAGGAAAAAAGCAGUAAACAGUAAAGUCCCUCAACACUUUAUCAAAGGGAUUGGGAAAGCAAAGUGCCUCAACCAAUGGACAAUUACUUGUCAUGCCCUUUGCUCUAGAAAUGCAUGUAGAUGCAUGUGAUUUACUCCUCUAGAUGAAACUUCUCCGUUCAAUAAGGCAUUGUCAUCAAGUGUCAAAGGAGAGUAUAUUAACACUGACACUUUACCCCCCUGCAACCAAUGAUUAUCAUAUCAGAAGCGCGGUCACACACACACAAGGUACGUCUACUUUGUGUUACAAUAUUUCGGAAUUUUAUCUGCAAGUACAAUGUAAUAACCUGGAAAACUGCCCUUGGAUGACCAUUAUUUAACACAAUAUUGCAGGAAAAUGCUAUAUGUCUACAUGUUAGUCAGCGCGCAAAUAGAAUACGAUAUGAAGUCAGCCGUCUGUCCUUCUACCAACUGUGGUGGUUGUUGGCAGACUUCCGUUAUCUACAUCCCACGUCACGACAGUUUCCAGAGUCGUCUGUCGUAAAACAUGUCGUAAUUCCAUGAGUUCGACUAAGCAGCGACUUGCAAACAGUCCUCAGUGUCUUCGUCUUUGUUGUCAGUUCACCUGGUACACCACACGAGCAGUCUGGUGCGAGGGAGGAAUUCUACUCAUGUGUAAACAUUGGUAGAAGCUAAAUAUAGACCGGAAAUUCCCAUUUCUCUAGAGCUGCGCUAUUUUAAAGUCACAAAGCAAGUUUACAAGCUGCUAUGGCUCUGUCACAAGGUGUGUAUAGUGUUUGAUGUCAAGAUCUUUUAUACUACAUUAAAUAUAUAUGUGCAAUCAUUUCCAGGUGAAUGCAGUUUUAUUCAUUUGUUCAGAAAAUAAACUGAUCAGGUAGAGUCGACAUAAGAAACGUGGAGAACUUUAUACAAGUAUCUUCCCCUCCAGAGUGAGUUUCAUGUCUUAAUUGUAGAUUAGUGUCCACCUCGCGAUUUACUUUAUACUCCAAUACAUCGAUAUAGUGUAGAACCAAGAAUUGUAUAUCAAGUGCUAUAUCUGUCUCUUACAAUGUUCCAGCACCUAUCGUCAAAACACAGCCCCGGGGAACUGGUCUCAUGGGGAACAUUGGCACAGUCGCAUUCAACAAGGGAUGCUAUUGGUCAGCCACUCACCCAGAAUUCUUCAUCUAGUCAACAAGUAGUCAGCACGGACAAGGGGAAGACCACCUCCUGUUGACCCUCGGACCCGACUAUAGGGGGCAGGUGGAGUUAAAGUCCCUUAAGACGAGAUUCUUCAUGAGAAGAACACGCGGAUGACCCUCCAGACCAUCGCCGCUGUUUCUACAAUGCCCUCAGCCAUUCUGCCAAAAUGUCUUUGAGUCCAGCAGGAGCUGAACUGAUGAUGUCAUCGAUAGUUUGACCGGCAGACCUCAAGUUGUCUCCCCCGGUGAAGACGACGACCAUGUACUUAGUGACCUCCUUAUCAAAGAUUGCAACGAGUCGUUUG
Molecule: long non-coding RNA, 3344 nt
Organism: Pomacea canaliculata
Lineage: Eukaryota; Metazoa; Mollusca; Gastropoda; Architaenioglossa; Ampullariidae
Exons: 8
Source: RefSeq, a predicted model, not a curated record